UGCUGGACCUUGUUGCUAAUGUAUAACUAAAGUAAACUUGAAGGGGCUGAUUAUUAGUGAGCACGAACAUGAAUUGAUCUGUCCUAACAACUCAACUGAUAUGUGUUAUAUAUUUCCAAGUCAACUGGUAUAAGAUUCUAAUUGACAAUUCUCUCACGGAUUAUAUAAAAAAAGUCUUGAUUUGAUUGGAGAACAAAAUGGACUAGGCUGGAUCAAGCAAAACCAGACCUACUAUAGGCACUACUUGGAUGAGAGCCAAGUAGGAAUAGUGAAUCAAGAAAGAUGGCCACUUCCCCAUUAUUUAUCUGAUAUUCC
RNAcentral lists this long non-coding RNA (315 nucleotides) under Elaeis guineensis (African oil palm). Its description in RNAcentral is "long non-coding RNA (EGUI_LNC034700)". The record is from RNAcentral. Lineage: Eukaryota; Viridiplantae; Streptophyta; Magnoliopsida; Arecales; Arecaceae.